GGAAAGGGAAGCGAGAAAUGGGGGUUGAGAUGGUAUGAACAGAAAAAGGUUAGAGGAAAGAGAAGUUUAAUGGGGACUUUGGGUUGAGGAAGUGGACCAUAUAUACAUAUAUUAGUAGAUGUGGGAUCAGUGAGGAAUGAUGGGAGGGAAAAAAUGGGGGAUAAAGGGGUUAGAGAUCAGGGGAAAUGGAAAUGAAGAGAAGAGUUGGAGGUGUUAAGGGAAGACGAAGAAGACGAAGAAGACGAAGAAGAAAUGGUUUUAAGCGCGUUCAAAACGCGGGACGCUAUUGGUAGGUGAAAUGUCUAAAUUACCCCUUUAUAACAACUCUUUGCUUUUGAUUUUGAAAAUUCGAUCGUCGUUUUAUGUCUUUUGGGAUUUUGGUUAUUAUUUGAUUUCCAUUUUAAAUUUAAAUUUGGACUUUGGUAGCUCAAGAGGUCAACCUUAGUGAUGCAAACAUAACUCAUAAUUUUAUUUAUAUAUCCACUCUUCUUUUUAUAUACACUACAAAUCUCAAGGUUUUAUUAAAAAUAUAAAACAAGUUUUUUUCAAACUAAACUUAUAACUUUUUUUUCUUUUUUUAUAUUUAUAAGCAUAUACCUGUCUAUUGUUGCAUACUUGAGAAAAAAAUAUUUUUCAAUUAGCAUAGUAGACUUUAUAUAGUGAAUUAAAUUUGUAGAAUUAGCAUAGUAAACUUUACAAUUCUUUUUUAUUUAUUUUUAACAUUGACAACUAGAAAUGAACAGAAAAUUGAAUCAUUGUUGGUUGGUGAAAUUUAUUUAACAAAUUUUUUAAUUUUUUAAUGUUACACUUAGAAUCACUUAAAAUGAAAGGAGCAAAAGCGAAAAUGAUAGACAUCGUUUUUUUUAGGUAUAAUGGUUGGAAUCUUAGCCAAAUUAAAAAAAAAAUAAAACAUUUUUUUUUAGUUUUAAAAAUCUAUCUUGGUUUUAUGAAACUUACAAUUUUUGAAAACUUUGGUAGAAGGUAGAUAAUAAAACAAGGUUGGAAGUGUAUUUGUACGGUUAAUUUUCAAAACAAAAACAGAAAAUUGAGGGGUUCGUAUAUAAAGAGCCUUACAAUAAGCCUAUAUUACAUAAAUGUUUUAAGUUUUCAACUUUUGAUUGAUGUUAGUGAUCAUUUAACAAUUUUAACAACUUCAAAAAUGGAAAAGUCCCACGGACCUUAAAAUAUAAAAAAUGACCUAGUCAGCACGAGAUUAAUUGGCACACACACGUAAUAUAAUUGGCUACAUCUAUUAUUUCUUCUUCUUCCUCCUUUUUUAUUUUUAUUUUUUUUGUAAAAAAAAGGUAAUGUGAUUUAAUUAGGGACGAGGGAAUUUGAACCAAUGAUCUUUUAUCCUCUGGAACAUGAAGGUGGCAGCUGAGCUCAUGUUUUUCUCCUUCUCGAUAGGUGGUUGCAAACAAAAGGUGGGGUAUAGGCGAAGCUCAUGAUGGGUUAUAAGAUGAAGAUUUUAGAACCAUUCUUUUAUUAGUCAUUCAUCAGUUGACGACAUGGAUUCUAGACGAGAUGAAAAUGGGAAGAAGAAGAGAUGAAGAUAGAGAGAUCUUGGACACACACCCUAAGGAAUAAAUGUACACAUACAAUAUACAUAAUUAUCAUAAACGAUGGUAGUUGUUGUCGUAAAACCAAUUGUAUUUGAGUAUAUAUCAAAUAUACUUUCAUUUGAAUAUUUCCAAAACACUCGAAUAUUU
This 1709-nucleotide long non-coding RNA is filed under the name Cucumis sativus (cucumber). Its description in RNAcentral is "long non-coding RNA (CSAT_LNC001619)". The record is from RNAcentral. Lineage: Eukaryota; Viridiplantae; Streptophyta; Magnoliopsida; Cucurbitales; Cucurbitaceae.